RNAcentral lists this ribosomal RNA (493 nucleotides) under uncultured bacterium. Its description in RNAcentral is "bacterial SSU rRNA". It matches the Rfam family "Bacterial small subunit ribosomal RNA", at positions 903 to 1397 of the family's 1533-position model. The record is from RNAcentral.
AAAUGAAUUGACGGGGGCCCGCACAAGCAGUGGAGUAUGUGGUUUAAUUCGAAGCAACGCGAAGAACCUUACCAGGGCUUGACAUCCCUCGAAUUACGUAGAAAUACGUAAGUCCUACGGGACGAGGAGACAGGUGGUGCACGGUUGUCGUCAGCUCGUGUCGUGAGAUGUUGGGUUAAGUCCCGCAACGAGCGCAACCCCUGUUGUUAGUUGCCAUCAAGUAAAGUUGGGCACUCUAACAAGACUGCCGGUGAGAAAUCGGAGGAAGGUGGGGACGACGUCAAAUCAUCAUGCCCCUUAUGUCCUGGGCUACACACGUACUACAAUGGCUACUACAGAGGGCAGCGAAGUCGCGAGGCGAAGCGAAUCCCAUAAAAGUAGUCUCAGUUCGGAUUGUGGUCUGCAACUCGACCACAUGAAGCAGGAAUUGCUAGUAAUGGCAGGUCAUCAUACUGCCGUGAAUACGUUCCCGGGCCUUGUACACACCGCCCAU